UGUCUCAAAGAUUAAGCCAUGCAUGUCUAAGUAUAAGCAAUUAUACAGCGAAACUGCGAAUGGCUCAUUAUAUAAGUUAUCGUUUAUUUGAUAGUACCUUACUACUUGGAUAACCGUGGUAAUUCUAGAGCUAAUACAUGCUAAAAAUCCCGACUUCGGAAGGGAUGUAUUUAUUAGAUUAAAAACCAAUGCCCUCUGGGCUCCUUGGUGAUUCAUAAUAACUUUUCGAAUCGCAUGGCCUUGCGCCGGCGAUGGUUCAUUCAAAUUUCUUCCCUAUCAACUUUCGAUGUUUGGGUAUUGGCCAAACAUGGUCGCAACGGGUAACGGAGGGUUAGGGCUCGACCCCGGAGAAGGAGCCUGAGAAACGGCUACUACAUCCAAGGAAGGCAGCAGGCGCGCAAAUUACCCAAUCCCGAUUCGGGGAGGUAGUGACAAUAAAUACUGAUACAGGGCUCUUUUGGGUCUUGUAAUUGGAAUGAGUACAAUUUAAAUCCCUUAACGAGGAACAAUUGGAGGGCAAGUCUGGUGCCAGCAGCC
RNAcentral lists this ribosomal RNA (537 nucleotides) under Akanthomyces muscarius. RNAcentral describes it as "SSU rRNA". It matches the Rfam family "Eukaryotic small subunit ribosomal RNA", at positions 33 to 575 of the family's 1831-position model. The record is from RNAcentral. RNAcentral also lists the same sequence under 1 other name. Lineage: Eukaryota; Fungi; Ascomycota; Sordariomycetes; Hypocreales; Cordycipitaceae.